RNAcentral lists this long non-coding RNA (419 nucleotides) under Brassica napus (rape). Its description in RNAcentral is "long non-coding RNA (BNAP_LNC025472)". Lineage: Eukaryota; Viridiplantae; Streptophyta; Magnoliopsida; Brassicales; Brassicaceae. The record is from RNAcentral.
GAUGCCGAGGAUGAUCAGGAAGAUUCGCCGGGAGAUGAGGUUUUGGCGAUAGAUUAAGGUAGGAGAGGAAGAAUGGUGAGCCCGUGGAGAGAGGCGGAUGGGCGAAUUUUGUUUUCGGAUUUUGCUCCAUCUCUUUCCUUAUCAGAGAGUCUUUUUCUACGAUCGUUGUUAGAUUUUCGAAGGUUGUCGAAUAGUUAUUAGUUUUAUUUUAUAGAGUCGUUUCCUAAACGUUGUCAAACUUAUUCUAUAGAAAUUGUAUCAUAAAAUACAACCAUGUUUAACUCUAAUAAUGUCUUGUAAAAUAAUGCCGAGUUUAACUUUAUGAAAGCUGCUUCGUCAAAUGUUGCCAGCUUUAGUUUUAUGAAUGUUUUUCUGAAAAAUAAUAUCGAGUUUAAUUUUACGAAAGUUAUUCUGCAAAA